CAGUCUGUGCCUACAACAUAGAUUAUGAUAGAUCUCCAGGACUAAAACUAAAUUGCAAUCAGUAUACCACAAGUAUUAUAAUAAAAGCAUCUAAUCUGCUUCAGUGGUCAGAACUGGGUGAAUCCUCUCAAACUUGAAUCAGGAACUAGGCAUACUUAAUGAGCGUCAAGCUGAUACAGUAGAUGUACAGAAGAAUUUAUACACAAGGAAGUGAAAAGUGAUGUAAAAGGCAACUAAUACUUCCAUCUACCAUUGUUAAACAAGAAUCUGCAAAUGCCCAUAAUUGCAAUAAUCUUGAUAUAUACAUUUUUGGCUUUAUAUGCAAUUGUUAGGUUUGAUAAAUAAAUUAUUUCUCAAAAUUU
Long non-coding RNA from Physella acuta, 362 nucleotides. RefSeq lists it as uncharacterized. NCBI's taxonomy places the organism in Eukaryota, Metazoa, Mollusca, Gastropoda, Physidae. The record is from RefSeq and is a predicted model, not a curated record.